UUUUUUUUUUUGGUGUGUGUGUGUGUGGGUGGGUGGGUGGGGGGGGGGGGGAUCUAUGAUAGACAAUAUGGAACAUAUAUAGAAGAUAUACUGAAUUGUGUCAUUGUUAGCUUGACAGCAGCUAUGAAAGCAACAUGACCAAGUGUGGACGCGCAAGAUAAAUCUGUAGCUUGAAACUUUCAGGGAACACAUCAGAGUACAGAACUAAGGAAAAUCCAAUAAUGUAUUCACCUCGUAAACAAAAUUUAUCAUCACUAAUUCAUGGUCGUCAUCGUCCAAAUGUAUAUGCUAAUCUGCUCUCAAUAUAUCAAUAUCAGCUCCAUCACCAUUACUGUGCCUGCUUUCAGCUGCGUGAUGGAGCUUUUGGCAAUCUUCAGGUGCCAGCCGACCAAAUCUUGCCAUCUUUUCAGUUAACCUGGCAAUAGAUUCUUCCUGUUUGGCAAGCUGCAUAAGUAUCUUUAUCCUUCUAAAUGCAACAUUGCUGGGCUUUUGCCCCAGCUCAACCAUUUGAUGGAAGCACCUCUCCGCAUCCUCCAACUUCCCCUCAUCGCACAGCAAGUCAAAUAGCACAUCUGAUACCAAGGUGAAUGAUCCAAACCCAUUGCUAACCAUAUCACUCCACAGCUCAAGUGCUUGAGCCACCUCCCCAUGCCGACGGCACAGCCUUAUGAUGAACAUGCAAGAUUGUGUGUUUAGGAAGCAUCCUUCAGACCGCAUCCGCUCAUACAACCGCCAUGCGCUGCCAAUAUCGUACGCCCAGUAAUAGCACCUGAAGAAAAGGUUAUAAGUCGUGGGAUUCGGCUUCAGUCCCUUUGAGGCCAUUUCAUCCAUCAGGGCAAACGCAUCACCAAGUCUCUUUGCUAUAACAAAGUUCCGUAUUGCAGCGUUGUAUGCAGGGAUGUCUGGGUAGCACCCGAGUUCAUGCAUCUCCUUCAGCAAGUCCUUUGCCUUGUCAGGUUGGCCAAUCAACCCCAGCCCACCAAUCAGGCUCGUGUAAGUGAUCACAUCAGGGGAAAUGUCCUUCUCCCGCAUUUCGUCGAGCAGCUUGUAGGCCUUCUCCACGUCCUUGUUCUUGCAAUGGCAAUCGAUCAAGCUGUUAUAGGUCACCAGGUCGGGCUCCACCCCAAGCUCCCGCAUCUCGGCAACGAACGCCUCGGCGUCCUCGGCCGACUUCCAGCCGGAGAGCAGGAUGUUGAAGGUCUGGCGGUUCACCUGGAACUCGUAUUUGAGCGCGUGGUAGACAUUGCGCGCGUCGGACAUGCUCUUCUCCUGGCAGAGCGUGCGGAGCAGCGCAUUGAAGAGGCCGGUCGUGUCGGCGCGCCGGAACAUCCGCGCGAGGCGGCGGAAGGAGUCGACGGUCUCGCGGACGGAGCAGACCUUGGCGACGCGGCCGAGGACGACCAUGGCGGUGCGCGGGGAGACGGCGUUCGGGCAGAUGCGACGGGUGGAGUCGAGGAGGUCCCACAUAUGCGCGAACCGGCGGGACCGGCCGAGCACGUAGAGCGCGGUGUCGAUCGUGAAGGGCGAGGGCGCGUCGGCGGCGAGGGAGAGGAGAGAGAGAGCGCGGAGCGGGUCCCCGUGCGCGAAGCGGAAGCGGCGCAUGACGGCGUCGAGGAGCGGGGGCGUGAGCGGGACGGCGGAGGCCGCGAGCGCGGACUCCAUCGCGGACGGCGUGGGCGCGGACGUGACGAUGCGGUACACCGCGUCGGCGUCGGCAUCGGACGCGGGGGCGGCGGCGGUGGAGGUGGCCUCGGGUGCCGCGGACGGCGCCGCUGGCUUGCGGGGCUUGGAGACGUAUCGGAAGAGCCGUGGCGCGGGUUUGGGUGGCAUUUUGCGCGAGGCGGCCGGCGAUUGGGCAGGCGUCGUCGCGUCGCAGGGGCGGAGCGGCUUCAGCGGCUGCCGGCUGGGAAAGGGAGAACUGAGGACGAGCAGCUAGAUCUCGUAAUGGGCCUGUAUUCGCUGCGUUUCUUUUGGGCCUGUUUAUGGGUCAAAUUCUGCCGGGCUUUGCGCGUAUCAGUGUAUGGGCGGAAAAGCGUAGAGUUGGGGUAGCAGACAAGGAGACAACGAAAGGCAAGUGCAAAGCGGCCAUUUUGCAGUCCAUCUCGAAACCUCCUAUGUCCAACAGUUUUAAGUUGCAAUGCUUGAAACCAGAUGACGCUUCCCAUGCAACAUUGACCCUCUCCGCAUUGUGCGCAUAGCCAUUCCAUCCACACACAUGGCGGGAUACAUGUAAAAGAAAAAAGGCAAUGCCACGUGUCAUACACAGAAAGUAACUGAUAGAUCCAGUACUACGCAGUGGGGGGAAUAACUACGUGUUGCUGCGAAAGAAGAGGUGUUUACAGUGAGGAAGAAAUUCUUCAGAAAGGGCGCGGCUUCAAGGAGAUAGACAGUCCACUCAAGGUCGCAUUCAGCAAAGAUGUUGGAGAGAUACAAAUCCGUCAGGUUGCCAAAGACAGGUUGGACCAGCUUGGGGUCUUCCGGUUUAAUCCAAAUCUGAAACAAGCAAUCAGCAAAAAAUUGAAAUGGCACAAAUUGAACAACCGUGACGCCCAGCCUAUUGAAUCAGGGGCAAAUUAAAAAAGGAGGAAUCCAAGCAUUCAUACCAUAUAAUCUUGGAAGUCUAAUCUGACAGUUUCCAGCCUCGUGCCCGACAGCCAGUCGCUCAGCAUGAACGGUGGCUGCCAAUUCAUGGCAGCACAGCCAAAAUCAAUGCCCCGAAGGCUUGGGACGUGGCCGAAAACAACCGGAGGGCUUUCACGCGUCCAGGUAUCGUAAACACACACGCACGAGCUUAGGGACCCGGACGAGCUCGAUUCGCACGUAGCUGCAGAAUUCAAACACCAAUUCCAUCAGCCGAGACCGUGGCGCGUCGAUCCGCAGAACGGAUGGCCGGCCAGAAUCGCAGGAAUUCAGCAGAUUCGGCACAUCGGGCUCGUCGAAUCUCAUGUUCCGAACAGAGAGGCUUCUAAGACAUCUGAACGCGUAGGGGUAAGAGCCGAAGAACCUGCAGGUCCUGUAGCUCCGUCACCACGAUGAACUCGAGGAACUUGGUGUUCCCACGCUCGAGGACGCUGGUCACCGUGGAGCCAAUGGAUUCCAAGUGGGGAUCGGUCAGGCAGAAACGGAGGCGCAAGAGGUUGAUGGAUCGAUCAGCCGUGGGAGCCAACAACCUCUUUGUCGUUUCGGUGUAGAGAUCCACCAGAUCGUUGAGUUGGCUCGUCGCUGAAGUCUCUGUUCGGGGUUUGAAUCCGUCGACAUGAAUGUAAAGGUUUGUGAGCAGAUAAGGAAGCUGCUUCCUCCGCGUCGAGAGGGUGCUGGCCCUCAUCAGAGUUCUCAAGUCAAGGCGGUGCAUGAUAUCGACAAGAAUAUGGUCGGGGAGCGCGCUGAGCCUAUCGUCAUCUUCGGUUCCGUUUUUCUAGUGGCGCAAAGAAAAGAUAACAGAAACAUUUAGGGCAUUAUACAAACAAUUAGAACAUUGUACAAAAAAAAUUAUAAGAAAAACAGAAACAAUUAGGGGAAGAGGACGUGAACCCCAAAAAAAGAACUAUAUUUGGCGUGUUAGGAUUUUGUAAUUGAUCGGUUCGAAAACGUUGCAGCCAAAUGCGAGGGUGAGCCUUGGUAAAAAUUCGAGAGAAGGUAGGGGGACUUACAUUGUUGUGCGAUGGAGACGCCAUGAUAAGAGGCAAAAGUAACAAAAUAAUUCGUAGGAUCCGAAGCAGUACGAAUAAAACCGAUUACGUUCGGUGGUGCUUUAUACUAUUGGCCUUGAGGCCACAAGCACAAUAUUAGGCCUCUAAAUCAGCCCACGGAAACACCUCUAAAACAGCCAACGGAAACUCGGAAACGUAUCUGAGAACAACGAAGGUUGAUUAUCUAUCGGAUCGGAAGAAAGUUUGUAGCGAACAAGGAUUCGAAGUGCAGCCGACGAUGUGCAGUCGAGUUGCUGCAAGGCGCCGACGAUGUGCAGGAAAGAGUUGGUGAGCCUGACGGUGCAGACGAACAUCAACCUCCCCAUUCCUGUGUUUUCAAUAAUAUCAGCCUCAAGCUUACAAAGGAAAUUAACAAACUGUGAAUCAACAAUUGCUGAGAGGGCAGAGUCUUUGUCUCAUCCUUCCUAAAUCUCUUGGAAACCUGGCAUGCCAUUUGAGCUUGAUCAAAGGCAUAACCGGUCCCUCUCACAGCUAGCACCUAGAACCGCAGCAGCCAGUCCACUAACACAAGCAGAAUUGUGUUGUACUGUUGUUCGGAUGCACUGCUGAUUCCGAAAGGCAAUGGACAAUUCAACAUCUUUAAACAAUCGAAAAGCCACACAAUGAGUUGCUGAAUACAGGUUGUGUUCUCUAUCAACUAAUGCGAAUAUGCAAUGGCAAAUCCAAAUGUUUCAGAUUGGACUUCAUUGGUAGGAUACGGAUCAAGCAUUUCUUACAUAUACAUCCACAAAAUAAAGGAUUUCUUAUAUAGCAGAAUACUACCUACUUACGAAUUUCAUGUCACAAGCACCUAAGACUUCAAUCACCACAGUACCACACGCAGAUAACGAAGCAUUCAAUCAGACAAGCAACAAAAGAGCAUAAAGGUAGCAACAUCUAACUGUAGUUUAUAAAUCGCUUAAGAUUUCAUUGGCGCGAGAAUAUAAAUCAUGAUCCAUCACAGGCAGACCAAAACACUUCAGAAUUUAGGGCAAAACAGAUAGGUUCAAGACUAAAUUGCCACAACAGCAACCACUGAUCUAAAACAAGUUUGACAUAGUAGCAUGAUAACGACGAGAGGAGAUACGCGAUCAAGAG
Molecule: long non-coding RNA, 4787 nt
Filed under: Setaria viridis
Lineage: Eukaryota; Viridiplantae; Streptophyta; Magnoliopsida; Poales; Poaceae
Description: long non-coding RNA (SVIR_LNC011395)
Source: RNAcentral